Molecule: ribosomal RNA, 232 nt
Filed under: uncultured bacterium
Lineage: Bacteria
Description: partial 16S ribosomal RNA
Rfam family: Bacterial small subunit ribosomal RNA
Source: RNAcentral
CGGGUGAGUAACGCGUGGAUAACCUGCCUCACACAGGGGGACAACAGCUGGAAACGGCUGCUAAUACCGCAUAACACAAGUAAUUCGCAUGAAUAACUUGCCAAAGAUUUUAUCGGUGUGAGAUGGAUCCGCGUCUGAUUAGCCAGUUGGCGGGGUAACGGCCCACCAAAGCGACGAUCAGUAGCCGACCUGAGAGGGUGACCGGCCACAUUGGGACUGAGACACGGCCCAA